RNAcentral lists this ribosomal RNA (450 nucleotides) under uncultured bacterium. RNAcentral's name for it is "partial 16S ribosomal RNA". It matches the Rfam family "Bacterial small subunit ribosomal RNA", at positions 354 to 796 of the family's 1533-position model. The record is from RNAcentral.
GUGGGGAAUUUUGGACAAUGGGCGAAAGCCUGAUCCAGCCAUGCCGCGUGCAGGAUGAAGGCCUUCGGGUUGUAAACUGCUUUUGUACGGAACGAAACGGUCCGGGUUAAUACCCUGGGCUAAUGACGGUACCGUAAGAAUAAGCACCGGCUAACUACGUGCCAGCAGCCGCGGUAAUACGUAGGGUGCAAGCGUUAAUCGGAAUUACUGGGCGUAAAGCGUGCGCAGGCGGUUUUGUAAGACAGGCGUGAAAUCCCCGGGCUCAACCUGGGAAUUGCGCUUGUGACUGCAAGGCUGGUGUGCGGCAGAGGGGGAUGGAAUUCCGCGUGUAGCAGUGAAAUGCGUAGAUAUGCGGAGGAACACCGAUGGCGAAGGCAAUCCCCUGGGCCUGCACUGACGCUCAUGCACGAAAGCGUGGGGAGCAAACAGGAUUAGAUACCCCUGUAGUCC